RNAcentral lists this long non-coding RNA (2171 nucleotides) under Homo sapiens (human). RNAcentral describes it as "HSALNT0275869". Lineage: Eukaryota; Metazoa; Chordata; Mammalia; Primates; Hominidae. The record is from RNAcentral.
AUAGCUCAAAUUUUACAAAAUACUGGGGGCUUUUGCCUGAGACCUGGAUGACAUAGUUGUGUAAGAAUGGGGGGUUCCUCUGAAGACUAUUGGACUUCUGAGAAGAAAGAUCUAAGUUGUCUCUGUGUGAUAUGGAGUCAGCCUUCACUGCCCUCGAAGUCUGUCUGAUAGAGGUGUUGAAUGCUCAGUGAACUCCAUGAUCUUCCUGAAACCCAACUUUGAUUCAGCGGGCUCUGCUUGGAAGCCUUUAAAGAGCGGGAUCAUAAGAUUAAACUUGGAACACAUGAUCACUAUUUUCUUCUGGUCUUCUGUCAGCAAGGUGUCAACAGUCCUCUCUAUUGUAAAUGCAUUAACCAGCAUCUUCUCUGAUAGAAAUUUUGAGAAGAUACAGCCUGUACACCAACCAGCAUUGGAGGCAUCAUGGCUUCUGGAGAAAGAAGAUACAGCCACAAGAAGGUAUGUGUUGCAAAAGCAGUCAUCCAUCUCAUCUUGCCACCACCCAAGAUGGCCCAGGAUGUGGGCUCUCCCUGAGUGAAUCUUUGGCCAUCUGCCAACCUGAUGUGGUCAGCCUCCUUCUUUAGAAAGGGCCAUUCUCAGUUCUGGCAGGGAGUUUUCCCAAAGUUGAGAAGGUGACAUUCUUACUCCCCAGUGCAGCCUGCACCUCUGACCCGUGGUCAGCAGACAGGACAGACACGGGCAGGCUCUGUGUCCUAAAGCAGAUGGAACUGUGCGACCAUCCUGAUUGGAAAUUUGUGAGGAUCACCGUGUUACUCAACCUCUGAGGAGCCUCCAGCUCACAAGGACAGAGGAGGUGGAGAGAGGCCAGUCAACGCGAGGGUGGUGCGGGUGGCCCCUCUGAGGCCUGGUUUUGCUCUUUGUGGGUACGCUGUACAAGACAUCUCUAAAGAAGACACUGUAUAUGACAUCUGUAAUGAGGAUGCUGUAGACAUCUCUGAUGAGGACACUGUAGAUAUCUCUAAUGAGGCUUCUGUACAUGACAUCUCUAAUGAGGCUGCUGUAUGUGACAUCUCUAACGAUGCCGUAAACAUCUCUAAUGAGGCUGCUGUACGUGACAUCUCUAAUGACGCUGUAGACAUCUGUAAUGAGGCUGCUGUACAUGACAUCUCUAAUGAGGACACUAUAGAAGACAUUUCUUAUGAGGACACUGUAUACGACAUCACUAAUGAGGAUGCUGUACGAUACCUCUGUAAAAAAGAUGCUACCAAGGAGCCAUUGACACUGGAGAAUGAUUUGAUUGUGGAGAGCAUGUCUGAUGACGAGGAUUUUGCAGCUUAAAGGGAGCUCCCGGGGUGAGUGAUGGAGGCGGGAUCGGACCCUGGCAGUUUGACGGCAACACCUGUGUUCCUCUGCACUGGGCCGUGGAUGACAUUACACACCUUGGUGAGAAUCAGGAAUUGAGGCUAAUCACAUCUGAAAUUGAGCUCGCUCACUGGACAGGAUAGACUGGGCGCCCAGGCCUCAAGGGCUUAUGAUUUCUUCUCGGGUUUGAAACAUGCCCCCAGAUGAGCAAGACGGGGCUGCCACAUUGACGGAGCAGCUGCGGGACACACCCAAGAAACCUCCUGGAGAACACAGGGGACAUUCACGGCUGGAGGCUUCAUCUAUGGCCGGGGGCUUCAUCCAUGAGCUGGGGACUUCAUCCAUGGGCUGGGGACUUCAUCCAUGACUGGGGACCUCAUCCACGUCUGGAGACUUCAUCCGCGACUGGGGGCUUCAUCCAUGGGCUGGGGGAUUCAUCCACGGGCUGGGGGCUUCAUCCAUCACUGGGGGCUUCAUCCACGGGCUGGGGGCUUCAUCCAUGACUGGGGGCUUCAUCCACGGGCUGGGGGCUUCAUCCAUGGGCUGGGGGCUUCAUCCAUGACUGGGGGCUUCAUCCACGGGCUGGGGGCUUCAUCCAUGACUGGGGACUUCAUCCACGACUGGAGACUUCAUCCAUAGGCUGGGGGCUUCAUCUACAGCUGGAGACUUCAUCCACAGCAGGGGCUUCAUCCUUGGUUGGUUUGCCUGAUCUGUAUCCUAACGUUGUCCGGUCUGCAGAUGGCGGCGGCUGCUGAGGGAGCUCCUUCCCCUCCUCCCGCCUACCCUGCUAGGGCUAGGCCACAGAUACACAGGGCGAGUGGGAGUGUCUAGGGGAGAAGAUUUUAUUUCAC